Molecule: ribosomal RNA, 512 nt
Filed under: uncultured bacterium
Lineage: Bacteria
Description: bacterial SSU rRNA
Rfam family: Bacterial small subunit ribosomal RNA
Source: RNAcentral
CCUGGCUCAGGAUGAACGCUAGCUACAGGCUUAACACAUGCAAGUCGAGGGGCAGCAUGAAGUUGCUUGCAAACUUGAUGGCGACCGGCGCACGGGUGAGUAACGCGUAUCCAACCUGGCCCUUAGUAGGGGAUAGCCCGGCGAAAGUCGGAUUAAUACCCUAUGUUUUCCUAUGAGGACAUCUGAGCAGGAACAAAGAUUUAUCGCUAAGGGAUGGGGAUGCGUCUGAUUAGCUUGUCGGCGGGGUAACGGCCCACCGAGGCUACGAUCAGUAGGGGUUCUGAGAGGAAGGUCCCCCCACAUUGGUACUGAGACACGGACCAAACUCCUACGGGAGGCAGCAGUGAGGAAUAUUGGUCAAUGGGCGAGAGCCUGAACCAGCCAAGUAGCGUGCAGGAUGAACCUGCCCUAUGGGUUGUAAACUGCUUUUAUGCGGGAAUAAAGUGCAUCACGUGUGGUGUUUUGUAUGUACCGCAUGAAUAAGGACCGGCUAAUUCCGUGCCAGCAGCUGC